UACAGGGGGUGCAAACGUUGCUCGGAAUUAUUGGGCGUAAAGCGCGCGUAGGCGGCUACUUAUGUCGGAUGUGAAAGCCCUUGGCUCAACUGAGGAAGUGCACCCGAAACUGAGUAGCUGGAGUACGAAAGAGGGUCGCGGAAUUCCUGGUGUAGCGGUGAAAUGCGCAGAUAUCAGGAGGAACACCGGUGGCGAAGGCGGGUCUCUGGGCCGAUACUGACGCUGAGGAGCGAAAGCGUGGGGAGCAAACAGG
This 253-nucleotide ribosomal RNA is filed under the name uncultured bacterium. RNAcentral describes it as "partial 16S ribosomal RNA". It matches the Rfam family "Bacterial small subunit ribosomal RNA", at positions 524 to 776 of the family's 1533-position model. The record is from RNAcentral.